Molecule: transfer RNA, 57 nt
Filed under: Hydatigera sp. HCFr
Lineage: Eukaryota; Metazoa; Platyhelminthes; Cestoda; Cyclophyllidea; Taeniidae
Description: tRNA-Arg
Source: RNAcentral
AACAUAUAAAGGCCUUAUGUUACGGCCAUAAGAAUGGUAUAUUUAUACCGUAUGUUU